RNAcentral lists this transfer RNA (73 nucleotides) under Ulva intestinalis (hollow green seaweed). Its description in RNAcentral is "tRNA-Phe". It matches the Rfam family "tRNA". Rfam says of the family: Transfer RNA (tRNA) molecules are approximately 80 nucleotides in length. Lineage: Eukaryota; Viridiplantae; Chlorophyta; Ulvophyceae; Ulvales; Ulvaceae. RNAcentral also lists the same sequence under 3 other names. The record is from RNAcentral.
GCUUUAAAAGCUCAACUGGUGGAGCGUUUGAUUGAAAAUCAAAAGGUUGUAGGUUCAAGCCCUACUUAAAGCA